RNAcentral lists this long non-coding RNA (639 nucleotides) under Homo sapiens (human). RNAcentral's name for it is "HSALNT0005639". Lineage: Eukaryota; Metazoa; Chordata; Mammalia; Primates; Hominidae. The record is from RNAcentral.
AAGGAAGCAACGCUGAUUCCCAAUUGACAGAAGAAGGCCCAGAGAAGAGGAGGCAGGCACUGAGGAAGCCAGGCCGUGCUUGGCCUUUCCCCUGCCUGGCCUGGCCCUGACCCGAGGCUCACCCACUGCCUGUCUCCCUGCACCUGGCCCAUGGAGCAGCUGGAGCUGCACCUGCCGUUAUCAGCCAUGCUCUGGGACACCUUUGGCCUCAGGUAUGCCAGGAACUGGGCCAGGGCGUUAAAGAGACUACAAGCUGUUCCUGCUCACUCAAGAAGGUCCUGGAGCCUCACAGCACCUGGAGUAAGCAGGCAUGCCCUAGCCAGAGAGGGAAACUGAGGCCCUCUGACUUUAACCUGGAAGGGGAAUCAGAGACCUCCUUGAUUCCCCUAAGUGGGAACCAGGAAAGCAAAAAUGGUGCGGAUGGGAAGAUGGGUAGGUGAAAAAUGAAAUCAAAGCCAACAAUGGACCAGCUAUUUCACUUCUAGGUAUAUACUGAAAAGAAAUGCCUAGACAUGUUCACCAGAACAAUGUGUACUAGAAUGUUCAUAGCAGCAUGAUUUAUGGUAGCCCAAAUGGAAAUGACUCAAAAGCCCAGCAAUAGUAGAAUGACUACAUAAAUUAAACUACAACUGCAGAAAG